UAAUUACUUUUUAUUUACAUUUAUAUUUAUAUUUGUAUAUAAUUAAAUGAAAAAUGACUAUAAAAAAAAUUCAAGUUUGCAUAGGUAGAUAAAAUGGUUUUUAGACUUUUGCUUUUUAUUUAUUUUUUAUGUAUAAAUUCUAAAUGGAGAUGGAUAAAUUCUAAACGUAGGACGACAAAAAGUAGGCUGAGUAUAGAAAAG
Molecule: long non-coding RNA, 201 nt
Organism: Hibiscus syriacus
Lineage: Eukaryota; Viridiplantae; Streptophyta; Magnoliopsida; Malvales; Malvaceae
Exons: 2
Source: RefSeq, a predicted model, not a curated record